This 390-nucleotide ribosomal RNA is filed under the name Triticum aestivum (bread wheat). Its description in RNAcentral is "partial small subunit ribosomal RNA". The record is from RNAcentral. Lineage: Eukaryota; Viridiplantae; Streptophyta; Magnoliopsida; Poales; Poaceae.
AUGGAUGUUUUCCGACUGGAGUCUCGUGUCGCAGCUGUCGUGGACUAUCUCGCAAGGCUGAAGGCCGCCACAUCUCGCAUCGACUCGACGCUCUGGCCUGAGGAGACUCUUCAGAAUGACCUUGAGUCGCUGAUGGCCCGGUUGAACACGAUCCCUGGUCGAGUGCAGGAAUGGAAGAAGUCCUCGGCUCGGUGUGGUGCAGAUGUUGCUCUGUGUCUGGCCCGAGUCCACUGUAAAGAUGCACGAGAAGAGAAGCUGGCGGCCCUUCGGGUGGCCAAUACCAAGAAGCACGACUUUAGGUCCUUUAUGGAAACUUUCCUUGCAGCUGCCACUCGGAUCGCCGACGGAAUUGAUCUUGAUGAAUUCGUUGCACCUUCCAGCCCUCCAUAG